This 435-nucleotide long non-coding RNA is filed under the name Zosterops lateralis melanops. RNAcentral's name for it is "lncRNA (ENSZLMG00000012349.1)". Lineage: Eukaryota; Metazoa; Chordata; Aves; Passeriformes; Zosteropidae. The record is from RNAcentral.
GUGGACCAAGACAAAGACAGAGAAUGCAGCCUGGACUGUGCAGGGUCCCCUCAGAAAUCACUCUGUGCAUCUGAUGGAAGAACUUUUCUGUCCCGGUGUGAGUUUCAACGAGCAAAAUGCAAAGAYCCUCAGCUGGAAAUAGCCUACCGAGGCAACUGCAAAGAUGUUUCCAGAUGUGUGGCUGAGAGGAAGUACACCCAAGAACAAGCUCGCAAAGAAUUUCAGCAAGUGUUUAUCCCAGAAUGCAAUGAUGACGGCACAUAUAGUCAGGUUCAGUGCCACAGCUACACUGGAUACUGCUGGUGUGUCACUCCCAAUGGCCGGCCCAUCAGUGGUACUGCUGUGGCCCACAAAACUCCUCGCUGCCCAGGUAAAUCUUGUUUGUCUGGCUGGGUUAUGACAGCGUGCCAYGAACAACAAAGUUUGUCUGUGGUU